UACCGCCCUAUUCGAACGGUACUUGUUCUUCCCUAACAACAGAGCUUUACGAUCCGAAAACCUUCAUCACUCACGCGGCGUUGCUCCGUCAGACUUUCGUCCAUUGCGGAAGAUUCCCUACUGCUGCCUCCCGUAGG
This 137-nucleotide ribosomal RNA is filed under the name uncultured Bacillus sp. Its description in RNAcentral is "partial 16S ribosomal RNA". Lineage: Bacteria; Bacillati; Bacillota; Bacilli; Caryophanales; Bacillaceae. The record is from RNAcentral.